Non-coding RNA from Ceratotherium simum simum (southern white rhinoceros), 1418 nucleotides. NCBI's taxonomy places the organism in Eukaryota, Metazoa, Chordata, Mammalia, Perissodactyla, Rhinocerotidae. The record is from the annotation of a RefSeq genome assembly.
AUGGGCGGGGGCCCAAGCCAACAGAGCUGGAUGCACCAGAGAGCGAAGAUCAACAUUGAGGAACGUGAUGGGCUGAGAGGCCAGAAGCCUGAGGGAGAACCAGGCAUGCGGAAGCUGUGUGGGGUGGCACAAGGCAGUGGACCUGGAGGACAGAAGGGUGAGGGGCCCAUUGGGGACCUGAUCCUUGGCUGCCAGGCUGGGGAGACCUCCACCACGGCCCCAAAGGUCUUCCCACUGGCCCCCUGCUGUGGGGACACAUCUGAAUCCACGGUGGCCCUGGGCUGCCUGGUCUCCAGCUACAUCCCAGAGCCAGUGACCGUGUCCUGGAACUCAGGCGCCCUGACCAGCGGCGUGCACACCUUCCCGUCCGUCCUGCAGUCUUCGGGGCUCUACUCCCUCAGCAGCGUGGUGACCGUGCCUGCCAGCAGCUUGGAGAGCCAAACCUACACCUGCAACGUAGCCCACCCAGCCAGCAGCACCAAGGUGGAUAAGAGAAUCGUCGUAAAAGACCUGAAGCCCUGCUGCAAUUGUUUACCAUGCCAAGGGCCGAGGGUCUUCAUCAUCCCCCCGAAACCCAAGGACAUCCUCAUGAUGUCCCACAAGCCCAAGGUCACCUGCCUGGUGGUGGACGUGAGCCAGGAAAACCCCAAUGUCCAGUUAAACUGGUACGUGGAUGGCACGGAGCAGAGCACGGCCACAACGACGCCAAACGAGAAUCAGCCAAAUGGCACCCAGCGGGUGGUCAGCGUCCUCCCCAUCCAGCACCAGGACUGGCUGAGUGGAAAGACGUUCAAGUGUAAGGUCAGCAACGAUGCCCUCCCGGCCCCCAUUGAGAAAACCAUCUCCAAGGACAGAGGGCCGGCCCGGGAGCCGCAGGUGUACGUGCUGGCCCCACACCAGGAGGAGCUGGCCAAGGGCACGGUCAGCGUGACCUGCCUGGUCAAAGACUUCUACCCACGUGACAUCGUCAUCGAGUGGAAGAGCAAUGGGGAGUCAGAGCCGGAGGGCAAGUACCACACCACCCCACACCAGCUGGAAGGCGAUGGGUCCUACUUCCUGUACAGCAAGCUCUCGGUGGAGACAAACAGGUGGAAGCAGGGAGUCAAGUUCACGUGCGUGGUGAUGCACGAGGCUCUCCACAAUCACUCCACGGAGAAAUCCACCUCCCAGUCUCCUGAGAUGGUCCUGGAUGAGAGCUGUGUCGAGACCCAGGACGGGGAGCUGGACGGGCUGUGGACCACCAUCUCCAUCUUCAUCACACUCUUCCUGCUCAGCGUGUGCUACAGCGCCACCGUCACCCUCUUCAAGGUGAAGUGGAUCUUCUCCUCGGUGGUGGAGCUGAAGCCGACGAUGGUCCCCGACUACAGGAACAUGAUCGGGCAGGGGGCCUAGGGCCACAUAUCCUAAGCUGACAUCCA